AGAGUUGAUCAUGGCUCAGGACGAACGCUGGCGGCGUGCUUAACACAUGCAAGUCGAGCGAUGAAGUCCUUCGGGAAUGGAUUAGCGGCGGACGGGUGAGUAACACGUGGGUAACCUGCCUCAUAGAGGGGAAUAGCCUUUCGAAAGGAAGAUUAAUACCGCAUAAGAUUGUAGUACCGCAUGGUACAGCAAUUAAAGGAGUAAUCCGCUAUGAGAUGGACCCGCGUCGCAUUAGCUAGUUGGUGAGGUAACGGCUCACCAAGGCGACGAUGCGUAGCCGACCUGAGAGGGUGAUCGGCCACAUUGGGACUGAGACACGGCCCAGACUCCUACGGGAGGCAGCAGUGGGGAAUAUUGCACAAUGGGGGAAACCCUGAUGCAGCAAACCGCCGCGUGAGUGAUGACGGUCUUCGGAUUGUAAAGCUCUGUCUUCAGGGACGAUAAUGACGGUACCUGAGGAGGAAGCCACGGCUAACUACGUGCCAGCCGCAGC
This 493-nucleotide ribosomal RNA is filed under the name uncultured bacterium. RNAcentral's name for it is "bacterial SSU rRNA". It matches the Rfam family "Bacterial small subunit ribosomal RNA", at positions 8 to 518 of the family's 1533-position model. The record is from RNAcentral.